Molecule: ribosomal RNA, 1239 nt
Filed under: Arthrobacter sp.
Lineage: Bacteria; Bacillati; Actinomycetota; Actinomycetes; Micrococcales; Micrococcaceae
Description: bacterial SSU rRNA
Rfam family: Bacterial small subunit ribosomal RNA
Source: RNAcentral
GGCGAACGGGUGAGUAACACGUGAGUAACCUGCCCUUGACUCUGGGAUAAGCCUGGGAAACUGGGUCUAAUACCGGAUAUGACCUUCCAUCGCAUGGUGGUUGGUGGAAAGCUUUUGUGGUUUUGGAUGGACUCGCGGCCUAUCACCUUGUUGGUGGGGUAAUGGCCUACCAAGGCGACAACAGGUAGCCGGCCUGAGAGGGUGACCGGCCACACUGGGACUGAGACACGGCCCAGACUCCUACGGGAGGCAGCAGUGGGGAAUAUUGCACAAUGGGCGCAAGCCUGAUGCAGCGACGCCGCGUGAGGGAUGACGGCCUUCGGGUUGUAAACCUCUUUCAGUAGGGAAGAAACGUAAGUGACGGUACCUGCAGAAAAAGCGCCGGCUAACUACGUGCCAGCAGCCGCGGUAAUACGUAGGGCGCAAGCGUUAUCCGGAAUUAUUGGGCGUAAAGAGCUCGUAGGCGGUUUGUCGCGUCUGCCGUGAAAGUCCGGGGCUCAACUCCGGAUCUGCGGUGGGUACGGGCAGACUAGAGUGAUGUAGGGGAGACUGGAAUUCCUGGUGUAGCGGUGAAAUGCGCAGAUAUCAGGAGGAACACCGAUGGCGAAGGCAGGUCUCUGGGCAUUAACUGACGCUGAGGAGCGAAAGCAUGGGGAGCGAACAGGAUUAGAUACCCUGGUAGUCCAUGCCGUAAAACGUUGGGCACUAGGUGUGGGGGACAUUCCACGUUUUCCGCGCCGUAGCUAACGCAUUAAGUGCCCCGCCUGGGGAGUACGGCCGCAAGGCUAAAACUCAAAGGAAUUGACGGGGGCCCGCACAAGCGGCGGAGCAUGCGGAUUAAUUCGAUGCAACGCGAAGAACCUUACCAAGGCUUGACAUGAACCGGACCGGGCUGGAAACAGUCUUUCCCCUUGUGGGCUGGUUUACAGGUGGUGCAUGGUUGUCGUCAGCUCGUGUCGUGAGAUGUUGGGUUAAGUCCCGCAACGAGCGCAACCCUCGUUCUAUGUUGCCAGCACGUGAUGGUGGGGACUCAUAGGAGACUGCCGGGGUCAACUCGGAGGAAGGUGGGGACGACGUCAAAUCAUCAUGCCCCUUAUGUCUUGGGCUUCACGCAUGCUACAAUGGCCGGUACAAAGGGUUGCGAUACUGUGAGGUGGAGCUAAUCCCAAAAAGCCGGUCUCAGUUCGGAUUGGGGUCUGCAACUCGACCCCAUGAAGUCGGAGUCGCUAGUAAUCGCAG